GAGAGUAUAGCUCAGUGGUAGAGCACAUGCUUAGCAUGCAGGAGGUCCUGGGUUCAAUCCCCAGUACCUCCA
Molecule: transfer RNA, 72 nt
Filed under: Camelus bactrianus (Bactrian camel)
Lineage: Eukaryota; Metazoa; Chordata; Mammalia; Artiodactyla; Camelidae
Also listed under: 2 other names
Rfam family: tRNA
About the family: Transfer RNA (tRNA) molecules are approximately 80 nucleotides in length. Their secondary structure includes four short double-helical elements and three loops (D, anti-codon, and T loops). Further hydrogen bonds mediate the characteristic L-shaped molecular structure. tRNAs have two regions of fundamental functional importance: the anti-codon, which is responsible for specific mRNA codon recognition, and the 3' end, to which the tRNAs corresponding amino acid is attached (by aminoacyl-tRNA synthetases). tRNAs cope with the degeneracy of the genetic code in two manners: having more than one tRNA (with a specific anti-codon) for a particular amino acid; and 'wobble' base-pairing, i.e. permitting non-standard base-pairing at the 3rd anti-codon position.
Source: Rfam by way of RNAcentral